RNAcentral lists this ribosomal RNA (253 nucleotides) under uncultured bacterium. Its description in RNAcentral is "partial 16S ribosomal RNA". It matches the Rfam family "Bacterial small subunit ribosomal RNA", at positions 524 to 776 of the family's 1533-position model. The record is from RNAcentral.
UACGUAGGGGGCAAGCGUUGUCCGGAUUUAUUGGGCGUAAAGAGCGUGUAGGCGGCCAUACAGGUCCGUUGUGAAAACUGGAGGCUUAACCUCCAGACGUCGAUGGAAACCGUAUGGCUAGAGUCCAGAAGAGGAGAGUGGAAUUCCUGGUGUAGCGGUGAAAUGCGCAGAUAUCAGGAAGAACACCCGUGGCGAAGGCGGCUCUCUGGGACGUUACUGACGCUGAGACGCGAAAGCGUGGGGAGCGAACAGG